GUAGGGAAUAUUGGACAAUGGGGGCAACCCUGAUCCAGCGACGCCGCGUGAGUGAUGAAGGCCUUCGGGUCGUAAAGCUCUGUUGCAGGGGAAGAACACAAUGACGGUACCCUGCUAGAAAGGAUCGGCUAACUUCGUGCCAGCAGCCGCGGUAAGACGAGGGAUCCUAGCGUUGCUCGGAAUCAUUGGGCGUAAAGAGGGCGUAGGUGGCUUGGUAAGUCAGGUGUGAAAGCCCAGGGCUCAACCCUGGAAGUGCAUUUGAUACUGCUGAGCUUGAGUGUCGGAGAGGUUACCGGAAUACCUGGUGUAGUGGUGAAAUACGUAGAUAUCAGGUGGAACACCGGAGGCGAAGGCGGGUAACUGGACGAACACUGACACUGAGGCCCGAAAGCGUGGGGAUCAAACAGGAUUAGAAACCCGAGUAGUCC
RNAcentral lists this ribosomal RNA (428 nucleotides) under uncultured bacterium. RNAcentral describes it as "bacterial SSU rRNA". It matches the Rfam family "Bacterial small subunit ribosomal RNA", at positions 354 to 796 of the family's 1533-position model. The record is from RNAcentral.